ACUUCCAUGGUGUAACUGGCUAACAUGUCCACUGAUUCAGUGGAAGAUCUAGGUUCAAAUCCUAGUGGUAGUG
RNAcentral lists this transfer RNA (73 nucleotides) under Dreissena polymorpha. It matches the Rfam family "tRNA". From Rfam's summary of the family: Transfer RNA (tRNA) molecules are approximately 80 nucleotides in length. Their secondary structure includes four short double-helical elements and three loops (D, anti-codon, and T loops). Further hydrogen bonds mediate the characteristic L-shaped molecular structure. tRNAs have two regions of fundamental functional importance: the anti-codon, which is responsible for specific mRNA codon recognition, and the 3' end, to which the tRNAs corresponding amino acid is attached (by aminoacyl-tRNA synthetases). tRNAs cope with the degeneracy of the genetic code in two manners: having more than one tRNA (with a specific anti-codon) for a particular amino acid; and 'wobble' base-pairing, i.e. permitting non-standard base-pairing at the 3rd anti-codon position. The record is from Rfam by way of RNAcentral. Lineage: Eukaryota; Metazoa; Mollusca; Bivalvia; Myida; Dreissenidae.